GGGAGCCAUGGAUUUGUUCAAGGCUUUCCUCAUGGCAUCGAUCAUCAAAAAAGGUAGGUUCAGGAGAGUCUCAAAAACUAUAUGGUGCAUCAGACAAAUAUCUCUACCAGUCAUCAAGUCAUAUCUUCUCCCUCUGGGAAAGAAAAUCUUGGACACCAUGUGGUGGAGUAACCUCAUCUCCACACUAAGAUUUUUGAACUCAAUCUUCAGGAAACCUUCUACAUCAUCUCUCUCAAGAAUA
This 241-nucleotide long non-coding RNA is filed under the name Elaeis guineensis (African oil palm). RNAcentral's name for it is "long non-coding RNA (EGUI_LNC050652)". The record is from RNAcentral. Lineage: Eukaryota; Viridiplantae; Streptophyta; Magnoliopsida; Arecales; Arecaceae.